Xiphophorus maculatus (southern platyfish) is the source of this 70-nucleotide non-coding RNA. The record is from Rfam. NCBI's taxonomy places the organism in Eukaryota, Metazoa, Chordata, Actinopteri, Cyprinodontiformes, Poeciliidae.
GGCGCUGUGGCUUAGUUAAAGCACCUGUCUAGUAAACAGGAGAUCUUGUGUUCAAAUCCCAGCAGUGCCU